This is a small nuclear RNA of Clupea harengus (Atlantic herring), 108 nucleotides long. NCBI's taxonomy places the organism in Eukaryota, Metazoa, Chordata, Actinopteri, Clupeiformes, Clupeidae. The record is from RefSeq and is a predicted model, not a curated record.
GUGCUUGCUACGGCAGCACACCUACUAAAAUUGGAUCGAUACAGAGAAGAUUAGCAUGGCCCCUGGGAGGAGGGGCCAUGCUAAUCUUCUCUGUAUCGUUCCAAUUUU